UGAAGACGUAUAUCAAAGAGAUUUAUGAAGAUAGAAUGCAAUAGAGUAUAUGGAAGUGAUUAGAGCAAUGGUCAACAAUGGUCAAGACCAGAGAAAGAUUCAGUGGAAACACAAAAAUAUAAUUACAUAUGAAUUUGACUACUACACCAUGUGGUUCCAGUGGGGAAAAUGAUAACACAACUCUGGUUUCAUGUGUUAACAUUGGGACUGAGCAACUGAGAGGUGACUCACUUGAAA
Molecule: long non-coding RNA, 237 nt
Organism: Tupaia belangeri chinensis (Chinese tree shrew)
Lineage: Eukaryota; Metazoa; Chordata; Mammalia; Scandentia; Tupaiidae
Exons: 2
Source: RefSeq, a predicted model, not a curated record